AUUGAACGCUGGCGGCAUGCUUUACACAUGCAAGUCGAACGGUAACAGGCCGCAAGGUGCUGACGAGUGGCGAACGGGCGAGUAAUGCAUCGGAACGUGCCCAGUCGUGGGGGAUAACUACUCGAAAGAGUAGCUAAUACCGCAUACGAUCUAUGGAUGAAAGCGGGGGACCGUAAGGCCUCGCGCGAUUGGUGCGGCCGAUGUCAGAUUAGGUAGUUGGUGGGGUAAAGGCUCACCAAGCCAACGAUCUGUAGCUGGUCUGAGAGGACGACCAGCCACACUGGGACUGAGACACGGCCCAGACUCCUACGGGAGGCAGCAGUGGGGAAUUUUGGACAAUGGGCGCAAGCCUGAUCCAGCAAUGCCGCGUGCAGGAAGAAGGCCUUCGGGUUGUAAACUGCUUUUGUACGGAACGAAACGGUUCUGGUUAAUACCCGGGGCUAAUGACGGUACCGGAAGAAUAAGCACCGGCUAACUACGUG
RNAcentral lists this ribosomal RNA (482 nucleotides) under uncultured bacterium. RNAcentral describes it as "partial 16S ribosomal RNA". It matches the Rfam family "Bacterial small subunit ribosomal RNA", at positions 30 to 507 of the family's 1533-position model. The record is from RNAcentral.